This 292-nucleotide ribosomal RNA is filed under the name uncultured bacterium. Its description in RNAcentral is "partial 16S ribosomal RNA". It matches the Rfam family "Bacterial small subunit ribosomal RNA", at positions 505 to 796 of the family's 1533-position model. The record is from RNAcentral.
GUGCCAGCCGCCGCGGUAAUACAGAGGUCUCAAGCGUUGUUCGGAUUCAUUGGGCGUAAAGGGUGCGUAGGUGGCGCCGUAAGUCGGGUGUGAAAUUUCGAGGCUUAACCUCGAAACUGCAUUCGAUACUGCGGUGCUUGAGGACUGGAGAGGAGACUGGAAUUCAUGGUGUAGCAGUGAAAUGCGUAGAGAUCAUGAGGAAGACCAGUGGCGAAGGCGGGUCUCUGGACAGUUCCUGACACUGAGACACGAAGGCCAGGGGAGCAAACGGGAUUAGAAACCCGCGUAGUCC